RNAcentral lists this antisense RNA (75 nucleotides) under Nocardia tenerifensis. Its description in RNAcentral is "ASpks TB sRNA". It matches the Rfam family "ASpks TB sRNA". Lineage: Bacteria; Bacillati; Actinomycetota; Actinomycetes; Mycobacteriales; Nocardiaceae. The record is from RNAcentral.
UUUGAGCGACCCGAGCAGCAGCGGGCGAUCCGCGGGCCGGUCCCGGCCGUAGGUGGCGAGCAGGGCCUGCGCCUC